GACAGAGGUGCCAAGCGUUAGGCGGAAUCACUGGGCUUAAAGCGUGUGUAGGCGGAUCGUUAAGUGCCUUGUGAAAUCCCACCGCUCAACGGUGGAACUGCUUGGCAUACUGGCGGUCUUGAGCCGGCUAGGGGCGACUGGAACAAACGGUGGAGCGGUGAAAUGCGUAGAUAUCGUUUGGAACGCCAAUGGUGAAAACAGGUCGCUGGGGCCGUGCUGACG
RNAcentral lists this ribosomal RNA (222 nucleotides) under uncultured prokaryote. RNAcentral describes it as "partial 16S ribosomal RNA". It matches the Rfam family "Bacterial small subunit ribosomal RNA", at positions 524 to 745 of the family's 1533-position model. The record is from RNAcentral.